This 253-nucleotide ribosomal RNA is filed under the name uncultured bacterium. RNAcentral's name for it is "partial 16S ribosomal RNA". It matches the Rfam family "Bacterial small subunit ribosomal RNA", at positions 524 to 776 of the family's 1533-position model. The record is from RNAcentral.
UACGUAGGGGGCAAGCGUUGUCCGGAUUUAUUGGGCGUAAAGAGCGUGUAGGCGGUUCGGUAGGUCCGUUGUGAAAGUCCAGGGCUCAACCCUGGAAAGCCGGUGGAAACUGUCGAGCUCGAGUCCGGAAGAGGCGAGUGGAAUUCCUGGUGUAGCGGUGAAAUGCGCAGAUAUCAGGAGGAACACCAAUGGCGAAGGCAGCUCGCUGGGACGGUACUGACACUGAGACGCGAAAGCGUGGGGAGCAAACAGG